GGACAACUGAGGAGGAGAGGAAAAAAAGAGGAAGUUAAAUGUAGUAUUUUUUUCCUCUGCAUUUUCAUUUUUAAAAAAUGUUGCAGAAUUUUAUUAAAAUAUGGAAAAUUAUUUUUUAAAAACUAUUAUUUCACUUAAAUUACAGAAAUAACAGAAAGUGGGUAGAGAAACUUCUCUUCACCUUCAGUUCCAACACUGUAAAUCUUCACUACAGAAUUAACUACAGUUAAGAGAAACAGGCAGAAUGUCUACAUGUGUGCACCCAUGACGACAUCUUUCACAAGAGGGCACUGGUACACAGGAUGAUGGCAUGACUAUGAGUGAAUGGACCCCAGAGCAACAGAAAGAAGACUUCCUGGAUCUCAAGGCUGCCACAGCUAUCAUGGAGUCCAGCUUGCUCAACCAGAGAAACCUGUAUCAGUGAAGUCAUCAGAGUCUCUCAAAGCUAACUGAUCUUCUCUGGAAUGUGGGAAUCUUCAAUAGUCAGCCUUCUAGAAAACACCAUUAUCUGGGUCAUUUGCUCUUCAUGGUCAC
This 534-nucleotide long non-coding RNA is filed under the name Microcebus murinus (gray mouse lemur). Its description in RNAcentral is "lncRNA (ENSMICG00000048517.1)". The record is from RNAcentral. Lineage: Eukaryota; Metazoa; Chordata; Mammalia; Primates; Cheirogaleidae.